AUUGAACGCUGGCGGCAUGCCUUACACAUGCAAGUCGAACGGCAGCACGGGAGCAAUCCUGGUGGCGAGUGGCGAACGGGUGAGUAAAGUAUCGGAACGUGCCCAGUCGUGGGGGAUAACGUAGCGAAAGUUACGCUAAUACCGCAUACGAUCUAUGGAUGAAAGCGGGGGAUCGCAAGACCUCGCGCGAUUGGAGCGGCCGAUAUCAGAUAGGUAGUUGGUGGGGGAAAGGCUCACCAAGCCGACGAUCUGUAGCUGGUCUGAGAGGACGACCAGCCACCCUGGGACGGGGACACGGCCCAGACUCCUACGGGGGGCAGCAGUGGGGAAUUUUGGACAAUGGGCGAAAGCCUGAUCCAGCCAUGCCGCGUGCAGGAUGAAGGCCUUCGGGUUGUAAACUGCUUUUGUACGGAACGAAAAGGUUUGGCCUAAUAAGCUGAGCUCAUGACGGUACCGUAAGAAUAAGCACCGGCUAACUACGUGCCAGCCGCCGCCGUAA
RNAcentral lists this ribosomal RNA (499 nucleotides) under uncultured bacterium. Its description in RNAcentral is "partial 16S ribosomal RNA". It matches the Rfam family "Bacterial small subunit ribosomal RNA", at positions 29 to 523 of the family's 1533-position model. The record is from RNAcentral.